GCCCGCCUAGCUCAAUCGGAUAGAGCGUCAGACUUUUACGAGCCUGAUCCAUAAGGCGGGAGUGACAUCUGAAGGCUGCGAGUUCGACCCUCGCGGUGGGCU
Molecule: non-coding RNA, 102 nt
Organism: Mycena epipterygia
Lineage: Eukaryota; Fungi; Basidiomycota; Agaricomycetes; Agaricales; Mycenaceae
Source: the annotation of a GenBank genome assembly